AUGGCAUUAAGAUUCCUGCAAAGCCAUUUUUUUUUCCUCUCGGCGGAGUAGGGAAAUUGUUUGGGGCUAAGUUGGGAAUGGUUUGAUUGCCUCUGAUAUAAACAUCUCUGAAGUAUAUUUUUUCCAUGGCCAAGUAACCUCACAACCUCAAAUCAAGGAAGGAAUCAGACAGACUGUGUGCAGCUAGACUUCUCUUAAAGUGAAAUUGAGUAUGGUAAUCACAGCUUUCAGAAUUUGUGAAAAUACCAAUGUAAGAAAAUUAGCUCUAAUGCAAGUUUAGCCAUGAAAUCUUAUUGAGAAAAGUCUUAUUCAAGUAUGGAGCAUUUAAAUAAUAAACAUAUAAGGGGAAACACAAAGAAAUCACAGAAAACUAGUAUUUACAAUGAGUAAAACAGGGCUGCUGUAAUGACUCUGGAUUUGAGCAUGAAAUGCUUUGGUUGAUUUCUGUGCAUUGUCUCUUGUCAGACUGUGAGCUUGUCUGAUGAUUUGCAGAAGUCUCUUGGGAGAGUAUCUUUGCACUUGCUCAACAGAGAACAACAAUUGCAAUAUGUAAAUAGGGUGUCUCUUCCUUUUGGAUGCCUUGGGAUAUGUGUAAUAGAUUAAGUUGGCUUUGUGCAGAGCAAACAGGUCUGUUACCAAGAAUAUGAAUAAUGUCAGUUUCCAUAAUUGCUAACAUCUGGCUUUCCACAAAUCUGUUAAAUUUCAUGGAAGUAGAAUUAGGUUUCUGUGUCAUAAGUAAAGCAAUUACAUGCAACUCUGUAGGCAACACAGCUCUGUAUUGACUUUGAAGUCCUUCCCUUCUGUAGUGAACAUUUGGGUUUUACACUUUGUUUUUAUUAUGGACAGGAGGUUUGCUUGCCAUUGUGUUCUUUUUUUGUGAAGGGAAAGGGUUGCUAAUGUCUUUGCCAUUUUGUAAACUUGAAAUAGCCAAAUACUAAGCUAUCAUUUCAGGAGUGGGAAUUAACAUUUUAGGGUGGGAAUUAACUGCCAAUUUUGAGAAUAUUUUAGAGAGAGCAAAACUUGGUAAUGAUUUGGUGGAAAUUACAUUUUUAGACAGUUCCUAGAUAGGUUUAUUAAGUGGUCCCCUUGGCCUCUUUCCUAAAAAAAUGAUAGAAAAAUGAAGUUGUUUUGGGGGACCAUGAGAUUUUCCUUCCUGUUUCACUGUGACUACCUUUUUAUGUUUCUUCUAUUUUACAUUAGAAUCAAGGAUAUCUCAGACUAUGAAUUAGUAAGAAAAAAUUUUCCUUGAGGGCAAACUAUUGGUUAGUCCUUGUGCUUGCUGAACACUCUAAAAACAAAAUUUCAUCAAUAUAAAGAAUAUAUUUUUGUAAAUUUCAUGAAUUUAUAUGAAUUUAUGUAUUACAUGAAGUUAUAUAAAUAGAUUGUCUAAGAUGUUUUCUGCCAUCUGGGGCACUGGGAAGAGUGAGCAAUAAAGUGCCAGUUCUGCCCUCACUGCCCAUAGUGAUGUACACAUCAACUGAUGGCCGCUGGGGGCGAGAGAGUCAGUUUUCUCCUUUGAAUGUGCCUCCAGGAGAUAGAUGGUCCUACACCCGGGCACUGACUGCCAGAACCCAGUGGAUUCAGUAGGUUUAAAAAAGAGAAUACAUGAAGUUGGAAGGGAAAAUGUUUCAGAGCGAUGGGAAGAGUUUGUAAGAAGUGGGGAUUUAAUUUAAUCAAAAUAUAGUGUAUUCUCACUUGAAAUAAAAGAUGAAUUUAAAAUAAUACUAUAACUCAGAAUAGGUUAUAAAGAUAGUGUUUCUCUAUUUCCCUUUUACAGAGGAGGAUAAAUAAAACUGAAGACAUUUUAAAAAUGUCAGAUGGAAACCUAUUACUAUAGAAGUUGCCUACAAUAUAUUCAGCACAUAUUUAAAGAGUUAAAAAUGGAGUGGCCCUGUCAUGGGGCAAAAUGUUUAAGAGACAUCACAGAAUAGCAAAUGAAAAGUUCAGUGCCAGGAAUGACCUCUUUUGGGUUGUUGGCAAGUGAAGCCCCAUAGCCCCUCAAACAUAACAUGCUAUUACCAGGGAUAUUAGAUACCCUUCAGAAGUUGAUGGUAAAAUUCCUAUUGCUGAAGACAGCAUAUAUUGACCCAUACAACACACAAAAAGUAAAGCUGCUACUCACCUAAAAUCUUCAUCCUUGCUAGCGAGAUGUCCUAAGGUAGAAGGUGCUACUGGAGGAAUAAAGUACUAUAUUAUUCUUGCACAGCUAUGAAUGUGAACCCUGGAAUCUAAAACUGUGUCCUGCAUGACAAGACAUGCCCACUGGUGAGAUAGUGGUGCAAAUAUUAUUUGAUGAACCAACCACUUUCUUCUUGGAAUUAAAGGCUGUUUCAGAAAAAUAAAACUCAUAUCUAAUAUUGAUACUAGAGCCAAGAACAUAUGCAUAGCCAAGUCAGAGGCUCCAGGGGUUAUUACUCUGCUAACAAGACAUGAUAUUAAACCAACUCCUAAUGACUUAUUGCUGUAACCAUUGAUUACUGCAUUUGUCAACCUUCAUCAAAAAAAGUCCUCUUUUUAUAUACAGUAAUUACCACAGAGACCCCCAAAUGGGGCAAAGUGUAGAGAAUUACAGACUGCAAAAUGUUUAUAUGUCAUAUCUCCUCCUCCUAGGAGUCCACUAUCAUCAUAAUGAGGGUUGAAAAGAAUAAGACAUUGCUGCAAAUUAGCAUCAUAUUUGGAGAUUAUCAACAGUGUUUUAAAUAUACAUACUUAUUAUAUCAAGGAAUAAACAUUGCAUUUUCAUUAUAUUAUCUAUAAUUUGGUUUUCAUAUGAGUCAAGACUUGUUACAACUUUGUUAUACUGUUUGUAUAACAGUAAAGGAGCUCCAGUGUAGAGAAGACGCCCAUGGGCAUAUGCUCUUACAGGCGAAGUGACUGCUUUAUUGAAAGCACUGAAUUGGAAGGAAAAUAGGAUUCCAACUUGGAUCUACUAACUAUUUUGACUCAGUGGGUGACUUUGCUUGGGAAUAGUUAGAGGGAGACUGAGAAGACAAAGGGGGGUGGCGUCCUAGAAAGGAUCAUCACACUACAUAAUGUGCAAAUGGCCUUGCUUAAAAAUGUCAUAAAACAUGCUUCAAAGCUGAGAAAGUCCUUGCUGUGCUGAGUUAGAAUCCAGGUAUCAAAUUUUUCAUCCUUUCCAUGGCUUCCAUUCAUUGUUUAUUAACUAAAUGGCUUCCCUGAGACUUCAGUUGGUAGAACAAAAAGAGAAAGUAAAUCUUAGAAGCAAAUAGGUUCUAGAAAUGAUUGCUAUGUAAGCUUAAUGGUGGAAGCUUACAAUUGCAGAUACUCUGUAGGGCUAUAUCAGAGGAUUUCAUACUCAAGGUUAGCCUGGGCUCCUGAACAGGCAAGGCCAGCAUGGGGAAUGUCAGGAGACACUGCCUCAAAAUAAGAAGCAUAAAGAGGUCUGGGGAUAGAGCUCAUCCAGAGCUCAUGUACCUGUGUAGCAUGCACAAGACUGCAGGUUCAACCCCCUAGUGUCACAAAAAAAAUAUAUAUAUAGCAUCGAAACUACUUAAUGUCUUCUUGUAUUGUUGCCAUGAAUCCGUUUUAUAGCAAUAUGGUCCCUGCAGUCGGGAAGAGAACAUAGGUCACAGAUUUCCCAUUAUUUUCAAGUCAUAAUUGCUUCAAAACUCUAACACACUUGGGAUAAUUGCAUCAUUUUACACUCAGAAUGUCAACUAAAAGUACUCCAGGGAUCUAUGUAAGAUAUAAUGUUUGAAAAUUAAUCUUAGAGUCUAGAGUGUAAGUUGUGGAAAGUAAAUAGAAACCACAAAAGCAGUGCAGUACUCUUUAGCUCUUGAGUUGGCAUAGGAUUACAGAAUCCUCUAGAAGCACUCCCCACUGUAGUAUGUGCUAGUUACAAACCUACCUACACCUUGCUUUCCCUGCUUUAAAAACUGAAGCUCACUUCUUUCUUGGGAUCACUAUAGCAUAACUAAUUCUUGAAAAACAAGAGCUGUCAGGAUAUUCAUCAUCUUUAUGUGUAUAAACACACACACACAGUAAAAUUGCUGCUGUUAUGGCUUUAAAAUUGUAGUGUAAUAUUUCCAAAAUAUGAUUUUAAAUAUAUAUAUAUAUAUAUAUAUAUAUAUAUAUAUAAUUUUCCAUCUCCUAACUCUUCCUAGAUCAUUCCCAUCUUUUAUCCACCAAACUUUGUUUUUUUUCUCUUUCAAAAAAAAAAAACUCCACAGAUCAAAACUUAAAG
This 4204-nucleotide long non-coding RNA is filed under the name Mus musculus (house mouse). RNAcentral's name for it is "long non-coding RNA chr7:50842296-50846500". Lineage: Eukaryota; Metazoa; Chordata; Mammalia; Rodentia; Muridae. The record is from RNAcentral.